UGCAUGUCUCAGUGCAAGCCACAUUAAGGUGAAACCGCGAAUGGCUCAUUAAAUCAGUUAUGGUUCCUUAGAUCGUACCCACAUUACUUGGAUAACUGUGGUAAUUCUAGAGCUAAUACAUGCAAACAGAGCUCCGACCAGAAGUGGAAAGAGCGCUUUUAUUAGAUCAAAACCAAUCGGUCGGCUUGUCCGGUCCGUUUGCCUUGGUGACUCUGAAUAACUUUGGGCUGAUCGCACGGUCUUCGUACCGGCGACGCAUCUUUCAAAUGUCUGCCUUAUCAACUUACGAUGGUAGGUUCUGCGCCUACCAUGGUUGUAACGGGUAACGGGGAAUCAGGGUUCGAUUCCGGAGAGGGAGCCUGAGAAACGGCUACCACAUCCAAGGAAGGCAGCAGGCGCGCAAAUUACCCACUCCCGGCACGGGGAGGUAGUGACGAAAAAUAACGAUACGGGACUCAUCCGAGGCCCCGUAAUCGGAAUGAGUACACUUUAAAUUCUUUAACGAGUAUCC
Molecule: ribosomal RNA, 511 nt
Filed under: Euhadenoecus insolitus
Lineage: Eukaryota; Metazoa; Arthropoda; Insecta; Orthoptera; Rhaphidophoridae
Description: SSU rRNA
Rfam family: Eukaryotic small subunit ribosomal RNA
Source: RNAcentral